CGUGGAAGCGCGUGCAAGCUCAUUUUCAACCCUUUUGACUUCUGUUUUCCUAUUUUCCUCCUGAUUCCAAUCCUAACUCCAUUCUAUAUGAAAUAGGACCUAAUUGAGGAAAAUCACUAUCUUUUGAUACGCCAAUUGUGUGGAAACGCUGUGUUAGGGCAUGCAUCAUCCAAGUACGUGAGGCGUCGAGUCAAGAGAGGGCACGUUGAUCGAUGUGGGUUGUCACAGAGGAAGCGUGUCCCGGGGUGUCAGUCUAGUUUUACUGAAUAGUACACUUUGUCUUUCAUGUUUCUCUUCUUGUUUUUACCUAGACAAAUAUGUUCUUUUAGUAAUGAAACGUUUUUCUUACGAA
Cucurbita maxima (winter squash) is the source of this 352-nucleotide long non-coding RNA. RefSeq lists it as uncharacterized. NCBI's taxonomy places the organism in Eukaryota, Viridiplantae, Streptophyta, Magnoliopsida, Cucurbitales, Cucurbitaceae. The record is from RefSeq and is a predicted model, not a curated record. The transcript has 2 exons.